CCUACGGGAGGCAGCAGUGAGGAAUAUUGGUCAAUGGACGAGAGUCUGAACCAGCCAAGUAGCGUGAAGGAUGACUGCCCUAUGGGUUGUAAACUUCUGUCAGCAGGGAAGAACGGUCACUGUGCUAAUCAGCAGUGAAUUGACGGUACCUGCAAAGGAAGCACCGGCUAACUCCGUGCCAGCAGCCGCGGUAAUACGGAGGGUGCGAGCGUUAAUCGGAAUUACUGGGCGUAAAGCGCUCGUAGGCGGUAUGUCAAGUCAAGGGUGAAAUCCCCGCGCUCAACGUGGGAACUGCCUUUGAAACUGGCAAACUGGAGUGUGUGAGAGGAUAGUGGAAUUCCAGGUGUAGGAGUGAAAUCCGUAGAUAUCUGGAGGAACAUCAGUGGCGAAGGCGACUAUCUGGCACAUAACUGACGCUGAGGAGCGAAAGCGUGGGUAGCAAACAGGAUUAGAUACCCCUGUAGUC
Molecule: ribosomal RNA, 466 nt
Filed under: uncultured bacterium
Lineage: Bacteria
Description: partial 16S ribosomal RNA
Rfam family: Bacterial small subunit ribosomal RNA
Source: RNAcentral